This 764-nucleotide ribosomal RNA is filed under the name Haemophilus influenzae 60294N1. Its description in RNAcentral is "bacterial LSU rRNA". It matches the Rfam family "Bacterial large subunit ribosomal RNA", at positions 2175 to 2925 of the family's 2925-position model. Lineage: Bacteria; Pseudomonadati; Pseudomonadota; Gammaproteobacteria; Pasteurellales; Pasteurellaceae. The record is from RNAcentral.
UUUCUAUGGAGUCAUCCUUGAAAUACCACCCUUUAACGUUUGAUGUUCUAACGAAGAUUGCGAAACGUGGUCUCGGACAGUGUCUGGUGGGUAGUUUGACUGGGGCGGUCUCCUCCCAAAGCGUAACGGAGGAGCACGAAGGUUUGCUAAUGACGGUCGGACAUCGUCAGGUUAGUGCAAUGGUAUAAGCAAGCUUAACUGCGAGACAGACAAGUCGAGCAGGUACGAAAGUAGGUCAUAGUGAUCCGGUGGUUCUGAAUGGAAGGGCCAUCGCUCAACGGAUAAAAGGUACUCCGGGGAUAACAGGCUGAUACCGCCCAAGAGUUCAUAUCGACGGCGGUGUUUGGCACCUCGAUGUCGGCUCAUCACAUCCUGGGGCUGAAGUAGGUCCCAAGGGUAUGGCUGUUCGCCAUUUAAAGUGGUACGCGAGCUGGGUUUAGAACGUCGUGAGACAGUUCGGUCCCUAUCUGCCGUGGGCGUAGGAGAAUUGGUUGGGGCUGCUCCUAGUACGAGAGGACCGGAGUGGACGCACCACUGGUGUUCCGGUUGUGUCGCCAGACGCAUUGCCGGGUAGCUAAGUGCGGAAGAGAUAAGUGCUGAAAGCAUCUAAGCACGAAACUUGCCAAGAGAUGAGUUCUCCCAAUCUAAGAGAUAGUAAGGGUUGUUGUAGACUACGACGUAGAUAGGUCUGGUGUGUAAGUGUAGUGAUACAUUGAGCUAACAGAUACUAAUUGCCCGAGAGGCUUAACUAUACAACGCUCAAG